GUCGUUGUAGUAUAGUGGUGAGUAUUCCCGCCUGUGAUGCGGGUGACCCAGGUUCGAUCCCCAACAAUGGUG
Molecule: non-coding RNA, 72 nt
Organism: Picea glauca (white spruce)
Lineage: Eukaryota; Viridiplantae; Streptophyta; Pinopsida; Pinales; Pinaceae
Source: Rfam